RNAcentral lists this transfer RNA (72 nucleotides) under Heterocephalus glaber (naked mole-rat). It matches the Rfam family "tRNA". Rfam says of the family: Transfer RNA (tRNA) molecules are approximately 80 nucleotides in length. Their secondary structure includes four short double-helical elements and three loops (D, anti-codon, and T loops). Further hydrogen bonds mediate the characteristic L-shaped molecular structure. tRNAs have two regions of fundamental functional importance: the anti-codon, which is responsible for specific mRNA codon recognition, and the 3' end, to which the tRNAs corresponding amino acid is attached (by aminoacyl-tRNA synthetases). tRNAs cope with the degeneracy of the genetic code in two manners: having more than one tRNA (with a specific anti-codon) for a particular amino acid; and 'wobble' base-pairing, i.e. permitting non-standard base-pairing at the 3rd anti-codon position. Lineage: Eukaryota; Metazoa; Chordata; Mammalia; Rodentia; Bathyergidae. The record is from Rfam by way of RNAcentral.
AGUUCUAUAGCUCAGUGGUAGAGCACUUGCCUAGCAUGCAUGAGGUACUGAGUUUGAUCCCCAGCACUAUUA